AGAAUCAACGCUGGCGGCGCGCCUAACACAUGCAAGUCGAGCGAGAAAGCAGGAGCAAUCUUGUGAGUAAAGCGGCGUACGGGUGAGUAACACGUGGAUUAUCUACCUCUUUGUGGGGAAUAACUCUGGGAAACCGGGGCUAAUACCGCAUAAGUCCGAGAGGAGAAAGCAGCAAUGCGCAGAGAGAGGAGUCCGCGGCCGAUUAGUUAGUUGGCAGGGUAAAAGCCUACCAAGACAAAGAUCGGUAGCCGGCCUGAGAGGGCAGACGACGACACUGGCACUGAAACAGGGCCAGACUCCACGGGAGGCAGCAGUGGGGAAUCUUGCACAAAUGGGGGGCAAACCCUGAAUGCAGCGACGCCGCGUGAGCGAGUAGAAGACCGUCGGGU
This 389-nucleotide ribosomal RNA is filed under the name uncultured soil bacterium. RNAcentral's name for it is "bacterial SSU rRNA". It matches the Rfam family "Bacterial small subunit ribosomal RNA", at positions 26 to 423 of the family's 1533-position model. The record is from RNAcentral.